Molecule: long non-coding RNA, 221 nt
Filed under: Lathyrus oleraceus (garden pea)
Lineage: Eukaryota; Viridiplantae; Streptophyta; Magnoliopsida; Fabales; Fabaceae
Description: Pisum sativum (pea) long non-coding RNA (PSAT_LNC033577)
Source: RNAcentral
UCACCCAAAAGACAACACUUUCAUUGGCGGAAAUGGUCACCAGAGCAGAAUGUUACAUAGAGGGUGAUGAGAGAAACACUAAGAAGAAGGUGUGAUACAUAAAGGCGCAUGUUCCCAACACCUAGGGUUCACACCACCAUAGGAAGAGCAAUUAUACCUCUCCCAUAAAAGACAAAAUUGCAUUCAAUAGAGUAGGAAAAUUGAGGUGAGGUUCACACCUC